CUGGUCAUUCCCGGGACCAGCCCGCGCAGGCUCCAGCCCCCCUAGACGUUUCCAGGGGCUUUUCCACGCAGCGGCCUCUCGCCUCGUGCUGUGGACUCUCCUGAAACCCCGAAGCGGCAGGGGCAGGCCUUCCGCUAAGAGGCCCCCGCUGGGCGCGGCAGCCGGGCUCUCCGCUCGGCCUCUCCGGGCGCCGCCCAGCCCAGCACAAGGGGCACACGCUGCAGGUCGCUCAGGAGCUCGUGCUGGGCGGCUCCCGGCAGGGCACAGGCGGGGCACCGGCAGCGGCCGGCUUUGCACCUCCCAGGAGGCCCCAGGGCCGCUGCACCCCCACAGAGGCACCUAAGCUGCGGACUGGGUGAGCACAAAGGCCCACUGAGGCCAGUCCCGCUCCUUAGGGCCGGCACGUGGGCAGCAGCCCUCUCCUGCCGUCACAGCUGGUCCCCAUGACCAAUCUCCCUGAGCGUGACCCCUUCCCAGUGACGUCAACAGCAAUUAAGGCUCAACUACAACAGGACAGAGCACGUGGCCCACCCGGCACACCUGGAGCGCCCAGCUCAGGGUGGACUCCCUGAUGAAUUUGAAGACUUGAGGUCUGAAUUAAGCUCUCACCACUCACAGCACAUCUGUAGGGUUUGUCUCCUGUGUGGACUCUCUGAUGGCCUUGAAGAUGUGACCUCCAACUGAAGCUCUUUCCACAUACAGCACAUUUGUAAGGUGUAACUGGCUGGGGGAAACCCGCUGUAAUGUUUUGAGGACACUCAGGCUGCUCAAGGGAGAGGCCCACUGGCAAGUGCCUGAGACCUUCUGCCAACAUCCAGGUGAAUGAGUCCACCUUGGAAGUGAUACUUCAGUCCCAUUGAGCCUUCAAAGGCCUGAAGCUCUGCUGGACUCCUUGACAGCAACUUUAUGAGAUCCUGACCCACAUCACCCAGGUAAGCUGCCUCUAGGUUCUUAACUCACAGAGGUAUUAAGUAAAUGCGUAAGCUGCUAAGUUUAAGAGUAGUUUGUUAUAUAAAUAGCUAAUACAAGUACCAUAAAAAUUAUAAUUAAGUUAGACAUUUGUCAGAAGAGCAGCAAUGUCCUGAAAUAAUCCUUUAGUGACACUUGUUUUUCCUCCACUUGUCAGCUGUCUCCAGAGGAGUGAGGACACUCAGAUCCACCUGGCAUCAUUCUCUAUAAGCUUUUGUUUACAAGGAUCCUCAAGGGAAAAGAAACAAUUUAGUUUGUGCAUCUGUGGAGUUAAAAUAGGCCUCAAGGACAUUCUUCAUAAAGGAAGCAGAGCAACUAGAGGAACAGACAAAAUGAGAAAUCUUGGGAUAUUCUGCUAUUGCCAAAAAGAACUUUGAAUAAAGGGAGCUGUAGGUAGAAUAUGCUCUAAGAUUUGUUCAGCUUCCUGAGGGGUGUCAGUUACAGUGGUGCAUCCAUUUGUAAAAACUCAUCAAAUUGCGUGCUUAGGAUGUGCACAUGUAAAUGCUACCUCAAUAAAAAGAACUUAAAUAAGUCAUUUCACUACCUGAAAAUUCAUGGAGGUGUACAUAUAUAAUCUAUGCAGUUUUCUGUAAAUAUUUCAAUUAAAAUGUUGGCCCAAAUUAAAAAAUAGUAAAGAUUUUCUCAAGAACACAAAGCAGCCCUGGCCAGGUAGCUCCGUAGGUUAGAGCAUUACCCAAUACACCACAGUUGUGAAUUAGAAACACAGAACACAUAUAAGAAUCAACCAAUGAAAGCCCAAAUAAGUGGAACAACAAAUCGAUA
Molecule: non-coding RNA, 1752 nt
Organism: Miniopterus natalensis
Lineage: Eukaryota; Metazoa; Chordata; Mammalia; Chiroptera; Miniopteridae
Source: RefSeq, a predicted model, not a curated record